UACGGGGGGGGCAAGCGUUGUUCGGAAUUACUGGGCGUAAAGGGCUCGUAGGCGGAUUGUUAAGUCGGGGGUGAAAUCCUGGAGCUCAACUUCAGAAUUGCCUUCGAUACUGGCUUUCUAGAGGCUGGAAGAGGUUAGUGGAAUUCCCAGUGUAGAGGUGAAAUUCGUAGAUAUUGGGAAGAACACCAGUGGCGAAGGCGGCUAACUGGUCCAGAUCUGACGCUGAGGUGCGAAAGCGUGGGGAGCAAACAGG
RNAcentral lists this ribosomal RNA (253 nucleotides) under uncultured bacterium. RNAcentral's name for it is "partial 16S ribosomal RNA". It matches the Rfam family "Bacterial small subunit ribosomal RNA", at positions 524 to 776 of the family's 1533-position model. The record is from RNAcentral.